GAUACUAUCAAUCUUGAGUACACUUGAAGUGGGCGGAAUGUGUCAUGUAGCGGUGAAAUGCAUAGAUAUGACACAGAACACCGAUUGCGAAGGCAGCUCACUAAAUUGUAACUGACGCUGAGGCACGAAAGCGUGGGGAGCAAACAGGAUUAGAUACCCUGGUAGUCCACGCUGUAAACGAUGAUCACUAGCUGUUGGCGAUACACUGUCAGCGGCUGAGCGAAAGUAUUAAGUGAUCCACCUGGGGAGUACGAUCGCAAGGUUGAAACUCAAAGGAAUUGACGGGGGCCCGCACAAGCGGAGGAGCAUGUGGUUUAAUUCGAUGAUACGCGAGGAACCUCACCUAGGCUUAAAUGCUUUUUGACCGUCCUGGAAACAGGAUUUCCCUUCGGGGCAAAUUGCAAGGUGCUGCAUGGUUGUCGUCAGCUCGUGCCGUGAGGUGUCGGGUUAAGUCCCAUAACGAGCGCAACCCCUAUUCUUAGUUGCCAUCAGGUAAUGCUGGGAACUCUAAGGAAACUGCCUACGCAAGUAGUGAGGAAGGUGGGGAUGACGUCAAAUCAGCACGGCCUUUACGCCUAGGGCUACACACGUGCUACAAUGGCCAGCAUAGUGGGUUGCUACCUGGUAACAGGAUGCUAAUCUCUAAAUCUGGUCUCAGUUCGGAUUGAAGUCUGCAACUCGACUUCAUGAAGUUGGAUUCGCUAGUAAUCGCGCAUCAGCAAUGGCGCGGUGAUACGUUCCCGGGCCUUGUACACACCGCCCGUCAAGCCAUGGAAGCUGGGAGUGCCUGAAGUCUGUAACCGCAAGGAGCGGCCUAAGGGUAAAACCUAGUAACUNGGGGCUAAGUCGUNNANCAAGGUACNUCUAGG
Molecule: ribosomal RNA, 869 nt
Filed under: uncultured organism
Description: bacterial SSU rRNA
Rfam family: Bacterial small subunit ribosomal RNA
Source: RNAcentral